CACGUAGGGCGCAAGCGUUGUCCGGAAUUAUUGGGCGUAAAGAGCUCGUAGGCGGCUUGUCGCGUCGUCUGUGAAAUCCCGCGGCUCAACUGCGGGCUGGCAGUCGAUACGGGCAGGCUGGAGUUCGGUAGGGGAGACUGGAAUUCCUGGUGUAGCGGUGAAAUGCGCAGAUAUCAGGAGGAACACCGGUGGCGAAGGCGGGUCUCUGGGCCGAUACUGACGCUGAGGAGCGAAAGCGUGGGGAGCGAACAGG
RNAcentral lists this ribosomal RNA (253 nucleotides) under uncultured bacterium. RNAcentral's name for it is "partial 16S ribosomal RNA". It matches the Rfam family "Bacterial small subunit ribosomal RNA", at positions 524 to 776 of the family's 1533-position model. The record is from RNAcentral.